CUCACAGGUCACUCAGUGCCUCAAAAACUUCAACUUGACAUUUCGAGCUGACGAAGUUUACAUUUUGAGGUUGUUUGAGGACGUUGUGCUCAGUUGGUUCGUGGGGGUACCAGGAGCCACAGAAAAUGCCCCAGACCGACAAUGGCCUAUUAUGGACGAGUGCCCAAACCCAUAGUCCAGUGUUUCCCAAACUCGGUCCUGGUUUUUGCCCCUUUCACUACACAGCUGAUUGAAAUGAGCAUCAAUCUUUGAUCAUUUGAAUCAGCUGUGUAGGUAAAAAUCAAAACGUGCACCCCCCGUUUGGGAAACGAUGCCAUAGUCACCCAGUGACUCUCUCAGUGAUGGCCCAGGGUCCUGUGGUGAACCAGAGACUGUGGUGAUGGCCCAAGGUCCUGUGGUGAACCAGACACUGUGGUGAUGGCCCAGGGUCCUGUGGUGAACCAGACACUGUGGUGAUGGCCCAGGGUCCUGUGGUAAACCAGACACUGUGGUGAUGGCCCAGGGUCCUGUGGUGAACCAGACACUGUGGUGAUGGCCCAGGGUCCUGUGGUGAACCAGACACUGUGGUGAUGGCCCAGGGUCCUGUGGUGAACCAGACACCGUGGUGAUGGCCCAGGGUCCUGUGGUGAACCAGACACCGUGGUGAUGGCCCAGGGUCCUGUGGUGAACCAGACACCGUGGUGAUGGCCCAGGGUCCUGUGGUGAACCAGACACCGUGGUGAUGGCCCAGGGUCCUGUGGUGAACCAGACACCGUGGUGAUGGCCCAGGGUCCUGUGGUGAACCAGACACUGUGGUGAUGGCCCAAGGUCCUGUGGUGAACCAGACACCGUGGUGAUGGCCCAGGGUCCUGUGGUGAACCAGACACCGUGGUGAUGGCCCAGGGUCCUGUGGUGAACCAGACACUGUGGUGAUGGCCCAGGGUCCUGUGGUGAACCAGACACCGUGGUGAUGGCCCAGGGUCCUGUGGUGAACCAGACACCGUGGUGAUGGCCCAGGGUCCUGUGGUGAACCAGACACCGUGGUGAUGGCCCAAGGUCCUGUGGUGAACCAGAUA
Oncorhynchus keta (chum salmon) is the source of this 1055-nucleotide long non-coding RNA. RefSeq lists it as uncharacterized. The record is from RefSeq and is a predicted model, not a curated record. NCBI's taxonomy places the organism in Eukaryota, Metazoa, Chordata, Actinopteri, Salmoniformes, Salmonidae. The transcript is spliced from 3 exons.